UGGGGAAUUUUGGACAAUGGGCGAAAGCCUGAUCCAGCAAUGCCGCGUGUGUGAAGAAGGCCUUCGGGUUGUAAAGCACUUUUGUCCGGAAAGAAAUGGCUCUGGUUAAUACCUGGGGUCGAUGACGGUACCGGAAGAAUAAGGACCGGCUAACUACGUGCCAGCAGCCGCGGUAAUACGUAGGGUCCAAGCGUUAAUCGGAAUUACUGGGCGUAAAGCGUGCGCAGGCGGUUGUGCAAGACCGAUGUGAAAUCCCCGAGCUUAACUUGGGAAUUGCAUUGGUGACUGCACGGCUAGAGUGUGUCAGAGGGGGGUUAGAAUUCCACGUGUAGCAGUGAAAUGCGUAGAGACGUGGAGGAAUACCGAUGGCGAAGGCAGCCCCCUGGGAUAACACUGACGCUCAUGCACGAAAGCGUGGGGAGCAAACAGGAUUAGAUACCCUGGUAGUCCACGCCCUAAACGAUGUCAACUAGUUGUUGGGGAUUCAUUUCCUUAGUAACGUAGCUAACGCGUGAAGUUGGAUCCGCCUGGGAGUACGGUCGCAAGAUU
Molecule: ribosomal RNA, 549 nt
Filed under: uncultured bacterium
Lineage: Bacteria
Description: partial 16S ribosomal RNA
Rfam family: Bacterial small subunit ribosomal RNA
Source: RNAcentral